RNAcentral lists this ribosomal RNA (276 nucleotides) under uncultured bacterium. Its description in RNAcentral is "partial 16S ribosomal RNA". It matches the Rfam family "Bacterial small subunit ribosomal RNA", at positions 68 to 339 of the family's 1533-position model. The record is from RNAcentral.
AGCAUGAACUUAGCUUGCUAAGUUUGAUGGCGACCGGCGCACGGGUGAGUAACACGUAUCCAACCUGCCCUUUACUCGGGGAUAGCCUUUCGAAAGAAAGAUUAAUACCUGAUAGUAUGGUGAGAUUGCAUGAUAACACCAUUAAAGAUUUAUCGGUGAUGGAUGGGGAUGCGUCUGAUUAGCUUGUUGGCGGGGUAACGGCCCACCAAGGCAACGAUCGGUAGGGGUUCUGAGAGGAAGGCCCCCACAAUGGGACUGAGACACGGCCCAUACUCC